GGUGGGUUGGCCGAGCGGUUAGGUAGCGGACUGCAAAUCCGCUUACAGCGGUUCAACUCCGCUACCCACCUCCA
This 74-nucleotide transfer RNA is filed under the name Kiritimatiellia bacterium. RNAcentral's name for it is "tRNA-Cys". It matches the Rfam family "tRNA". From Rfam's summary of the family: Transfer RNA (tRNA) molecules are approximately 80 nucleotides in length. Their secondary structure includes four short double-helical elements and three loops (D, anti-codon, and T loops). Lineage: Bacteria; Pseudomonadati; Kiritimatiellota; Kiritimatiellia. The record is from RNAcentral.